Camelina sativa (false flax) is the source of this 1254-nucleotide long non-coding RNA. RefSeq lists it as uncharacterized. The record is from RefSeq and is a predicted model, not a curated record. Lineage: Eukaryota; Viridiplantae; Streptophyta; Magnoliopsida; Brassicales; Brassicaceae.
UUUUUUUUUUUUUUUUUUUGUGUUCUUAUAACAUUGCAGGAUGUACAAGGAUGGUAGCAUCAUUCCAUUAGAUGAUUCUUGGGGUUAUGCUGCAAAUUUUUCACACAUGCUGAGAUAUGAUAGUCCUCAGAUGAAAGAGCUUAUGAGGCUUUAUGUCACCAUCCACAGUAUCUGUGCCAGCCAACACUGCAGCCAAGCAAUGGCCCCUAUCUUGAAGGAGGCUCUGCCACGAUCCAAGGAGGCCUUUUAAGACUAUUGCGAGAAUAUCCGGUGAUGUGUACAUCCCUCGGGGGACCUUGAGACGAAGUGGAAUUGAUAAUGGUGCUGGUUGUUCCUGUUCUUGUAGUGUCACAACAUUGCUAUAGGGAUGUCUGAUUUAGCCUUAUUUUAUGAUGUUCUGUGAAGACUGUUCCAAGUACUCCAACUCUGCUGUUGUUGUGUACGUUGGUUGUGGAGAGAGAGGAAAUUAAAUGGUUGAGGAUAGAGAGCUAUUAGAACCAGUAGCUACAACACAAAGCAAGCACAGAGGUCAAUAACAAGUCAAAGAGGCUGAAAUGCCUGUCGACAGUAGAUAUCCUGCCUAUCCAGCAGCAUGUUUAUCAUCUUUCUAUGAACGUGCUGGUAAAUUAACAUGACUUGGUGGACCAGACCGUGAUGGAAGUGUUACAGUUGUUGGUGCAGUUUCACGUCCUGGAGGAGACUUUUCAGAUCCUGUGACUUCUGCAACCCUUAGUGUUGUGCAGCUUGUAGGAAAGGAUACGCUAAAAGAAAGGGAAGACUACCUUGCUCAAAGCGCGUUUACAGCAUAUGACAAAUUUUUCCCUUUCUGCAAGUCCGUGUGGAUGAUGCGUAACAUUUUCCAUUUCUAGAACCUAGCUAACCAGGCGGUUCAGAGAGUAGCUGGAAUGGACGGUCAAAAGAUUUCUUACACUCUCAUCAAGUACCCGCUUGGGAGAUCUUUUCUACCGUUCAGUGAUAUCAGGUUCCUUGCGUGGGUUUUACGGGAUCUUUGGCAACUUCUCGUCCAAAGCGUGGGGAUCGCAAGUUAUGCAACUUUUGCAUUUUAAUAUUUUUGUUCAUCUGUGUAAGUAAAAUUCCUUUUUAAUAGCCUUCAAUCGAGUUGUGAAGCUCUCUAAACCAGGUUUGCUUUUUACAUUUUUCCAUAUCAUUUGGUCACUUCACCAUCGUUGUUGCUUGCGAUGGGUUAUUCAUAUCAUUUGGUCACUUCACCAAGAGAAGGUUUACAUUUUUCCA